GACGUAGGGUGCGAGCGUUGUCCGGAUUUAUUGGGCGUAAAGAGCGUGUAGGCGGUUAGGUAGGUCCGUUGUGAAAACUCGAGGCUCAACCUCGAGACGCCGAUGGAAACCAUCUGACUAGAGUCCGGAAGAGGAGAGUGGAAUUCCUGGUGUAGCGGUGAAAUGCGCAGAUAUCAGGAAGAACACCCGUGGCUAAGGCGGCUCUCUAGUACGGUACUGACGCUGAGACGCGAAAGCGUGGGGAGCGAACAGG
RNAcentral lists this ribosomal RNA (253 nucleotides) under uncultured bacterium. Its description in RNAcentral is "partial 16S ribosomal RNA". It matches the Rfam family "Bacterial small subunit ribosomal RNA", at positions 524 to 776 of the family's 1533-position model. The record is from RNAcentral.